RNAcentral lists this long non-coding RNA (1189 nucleotides) under Homo sapiens (human). RNAcentral's name for it is "HSALNT0078490". Lineage: Eukaryota; Metazoa; Chordata; Mammalia; Primates; Hominidae. The record is from RNAcentral.
UUCAUUCUUUUAUUUUAUAAAUAUUAAACAAGCAUCCCUUAUGUUUCAGGCACUGUGUAAGGGACUAAGGAUGUAGCAAUAAACAAGACAGGCAAAGGCUGUUCCCCAGUGAUGCUUAUGUUACAGUGUUAGAAGACAGAGGAAUAACAAAUACACAAAAUAACUGUGGAUUAGGGAUAACAAUGAAACAAUUUGGGUGGUAAGACAGCAGAUAAUUUGAGGAACAGAAGGUCUGGCUGGAGUACAGUGGGUGGGGGAGAACGGACUGAAUGAUACUGGAGAGGGAGCAGGAGCCAGUCCAUUGUAAAUAGCUUGGAUUUUAUUCUAGCUGCAAUGGAAAGCCAUUGAAGUGUUUCAGCAGGGUGAUGGCAAGAUGUACUUUACUAUUUUUUUUUUUUUUUUGAGACAGGGUCUCACUCUGUUGCCUAAGGCUGGAGUGCAGUGGCACAAUCCCAGCUCACUGCAGCCUUGCCUUCCUGUGCUUAAGUGAUCCUCUCACCUCAGCCUCUCGAGUAGCUGGGACUACAGGCAUGCACCACCAGGCCUGGCUACUUUUUGUAUUUUUUGUAGAGAUGGGGUUUUGCUAUGUUUCCCAGGCUGGUCUCGAACUCCUGGGCUCAAGUGAUCCACCCACCUUGGCCUCCCAGAGUGCUGAAAUUACAGGUGUAAGCCACUGCGGCUGGCUGCUUUACUGUUUUACAUUACUCUGAUUACUUUGUGAAAAGUGGGUUGGAGGGUAAGCAAUGAAGGCAGCAUGCCAAUGGACUCUACUUCUUGUACAUAACUUUUCUGGAGGCUCACUCAGUGACUGCCUGCCUCCCUUGCCUGACCUCUCGUUGGCCAAAACUGAAUCUGGUGGCCAGCCUUAGCUGCAAGAGAUCCUUGGAAUGUAAUUAUUUUAGGCACAGGAAGACAAGGGGAAAAUGGCUUGUGAAUGUCUUUUGGGUAGGCAAUCCACAGUAUCUGCCACUAGGGUCAUCUGCACUGUAUCUGAAACAAGCCUGUGAAAUAGACGAGGCAAGUCUUAUUUGAUUAAUCUAUAAAGGGGGAGGAUGGUUAAAGAGCACAAAGAUCAUAGGUAAUAGAGCAAGGGCUUGAGUCCAGAUCUUUUCAUCUCAGAUUGAAUGUACUCUCUCACUACCUUUCAUUAUUCUAGGCCCCACAAUGAACUGAUCCUGGUCACACAUGU